RNAcentral lists this ribosomal RNA (499 nucleotides) under uncultured bacterium. RNAcentral's name for it is "partial 16S ribosomal RNA". It matches the Rfam family "Bacterial small subunit ribosomal RNA", at positions 27 to 507 of the family's 1533-position model. The record is from RNAcentral.
GGACGAACGCUGGCGGCGUGCCUACUCCAUGCAAGUCGAGCGGACGGAUGGGAGCUUGCUCCCAGACCGUCAGCGGCGGACGGGUGAGUAACACGUGGGCAACCUGCCUGUAAGACUGGGAUAACUCCGGGAAACCGGGGCUAAUACCGGAUAACUCUUUCCCUCACAUGAGGGAAAGCUGAAAGAUGGCAUCUCGCUAUCACUUACAGAUGGGCCCGCGGCGCAUUAGCUAGUUGGUGAGGUAACGGCUCACCAAGGCGACGAUGCGUAGCCGACCUGAGAGGGUGAUCGGCCACACUGGGACUGAGACACGGCCCAGACUCCUACGGGAGGCAGCAGUAGGGAAUCUUCCGCAAUGGACGAAAGUCUGACGGAGCAACGCCGCGUGAGUGAUGAAGGUUUUCGGAUCGUAAAACUCUGUUGUCAGGGAAGAACAAGUACCGGAGUAACUGCCGGUACCUUGACGGUACCUGACCAGAAAGCCACGGCUAACUACGUG